This is a long non-coding RNA of Rhinolophus ferrumequinum (greater horseshoe bat), 2873 nucleotides long. RefSeq lists it as uncharacterized. The transcript has 3 exons. The record is from RefSeq and is a predicted model, not a curated record. NCBI's taxonomy places the organism in Eukaryota, Metazoa, Chordata, Mammalia, Chiroptera, Rhinolophidae.
CGCGCAGCUAACCGAGGGUUCCGGGUUUCUUUGGUCCACCGGUCCUCAAAGAUUAACUGGAUCUGCUUUGAGGCAAUGCCAGGUGUUCCACAGGUUCAGUACCAGCUCGGCCCUGAUUCUGUCAAGGGCUCUGACUGCAUAAGCCUGUCCCAGAUCGUUACAGCACGUCAAGUUCCCCAGCAGUGAGAACCACUGCGACCAAUCACUGCGCAGACACAGUUUUGAAGUGAUUAUUGGAGGAGCAAGAACAAGGUCUACUUUAAAUCUGGCUUUCGCUGCCCUUUGAAUUUCACAUGAAUUUGACCUUCCAGACCUAGUUCAUCUCACCUUUCAGUUGCCAGUAGCACAUAACCAGACUGGAAACUCUAUCAGCAUCAACAAAUGUACUGAUUAUCUAUCAUUUGUGGACAAAGCCUUGCUUAGGUUCUACAAAGAAGAAAAAUAAUCCGUGUCCUCAGAAAGCUUUACAAUCUAUUUGAAGAAAUAUAUUCAUAUUUACACCCACAGAGAGUUGCACUGCUACAUGAACUUAAGUUCAGCUUAAACUCUGUGAUGUUGCUGGGGGGGAGGGUAAGAGUGGAUAACCAAGCCAGUUGCUAUUUCAGUAUAAUAUGGCCAGAAGCAUCAGACUCUCAAACAAGUUGAACCUUUCUCCUUGCUUCCUCAGCAAGUAGGAGGGUAGUUUCCUCACCACUAUUCAACUUUCAAACUGUAAAGGCUAGGCUGAUGCAUUUUAAUCAUUCUGGAGUGGGUUCUUGGGGACGGGGGGUCUGUUCCAUCAUCCAGGCUCCUUCCAUCAAUUUCUCCCUUAAGUUUUGUCUCCCUUUGAUCCAUGUCAACUGUCAUCAUUAGCGUUUCCACAGGAACUCGUGAGAAGCAGAAGAGAUGAAAAACAUCAAAUUCACCUAAGAAUGCAUCCUUUUCUGAGACCUGCAAAUUCAAACACCAAUAUAGUGAACUAAAGCUGUCCUAGACUACUUAACACAGCAAGAACAGGUCUUGUACUGUUUCCAGUUUGUGAUUCUAUAAUCACUGAAACAUUUUUUACUGAUCUGUCAAUAGGAAAUUGCUAAUACUAAUGUUUCAAUAGUUUAAAUCAGAAUAUUAAUAUAUGUAAAAAUUAAUGUCCAGAGUAGUGAAUAAGAGUGCAGGCUCUAGGGCAAGACAAUCGUGGAUUUGAACCUUGAUUCUGCUGGUAGUGAUCUAAUCCCGGACAAGUUAGUUAGUCUCACCUGACCUUUUCUAUAAAAUGGAAAUAACAAUGCCUGGUUCCUGGAAUGUUUGGAUCAAUGUGAUGAUUAAAUGAGAUGUUAAGCAUUAAGCAUUUAGCAUAGUAUUUGAAACACAGUGAAUGUUCAGUAAAUAUUUGCUGUCUGCUUCUCCUACUUCUCCGAAUAAUUAAAGUUGGCCAAACCACAAAGCCUCAAUAUUUUGGGCAUGCAAAAGAUCGUACUGGGAGAACUGCAAAUCAGAUGGCUCUCAAGAGGUAAAUCAAAUUCUAAGUUGAAGCUGAAGUCAGAGUAGACCUUACAAGUUUUAUUAGUAAAACGCUGUUGGAGAGUGUUACAAACAGGACAACAGUCCCAAAAUAGAGUCACUUAUGUUAAGUCCCACAUCACCAAACUGAGGCUUACCUUAAUUACAGUUUUAGCUCUCCCAGAAAUGGAAUCUUAAACCAGUCCAUCAGGAAUUCCUUGAUUGCAUUAGUUAGAUAAUCUGCUUGAAGGACCCCUACCAUCCCCUAAAGGAAAGUAAGCUUGUAAUAAACAACACACUUUUUUUGCCUGGUAUAAAUUCCUUGUUCCCAUUCCUUUCUGGCUAUAAAAGUCUUACAUUUUGUACAGCAACUCAGAGCUCCUUUCUGACUGCUUGACUGAAUGCUGCCUGACUGGAAUCAAUUUUUGCUCAAAUAAACUUAACAGUUUUAAUAUGCUUCAGUUUAUCUUUUAACAAGAGGAAAAAUUGUUUUCUCUCUACCCAUCUUAGGUUUAUUGGCCCUGUAAAUUAGACUGACAAAAGACAAUUUAACAAGAGAAUAACAAACAGAUUAACAUGUGCAUUGCACAUACACCUGGGAGCGCUCAGUUAUGAGUAACUCAAAGGGGUGGUUAGAAUUUGCACUCGUAUAUCAUCUUAAUAAAAAAGCAAUGAAUUUUUAGAGAAGUAAUAAGACAAAGAAAAAGGAAUUUGAGUAUGUAGGGCAGCAAAUUAUGGUAAAGUAAACAUAUGAGGAAACUAAUGAAAAAUAAGGGCUAGAUAGUAAAGUUUAUUAGGUAGAUUCCUCUGGUGCCCUCUCCGGGCUAAGGAUCUAGAGUUCUUCUGUCCUUACUGGUGGUAGGGGGGAGGGAGGGGACACCUUUACAAAUUUAUGUCCUGCUUUUAGGCACACAGAGGAGGGCAGAGAACUUUUCUCAUAUCCUGGUUCUUCUUAAUUGCCUUCAGCUCAAAAUAAUCCUUAUGCUAAAGUGUCAUAUUUUGGGCGGGCAAAUUCUGCUACCAUUCAACACCCAACAUAAAACAAUGGGAAAGUGGAGGGGCAAGAGAGUUCCCUUAUAGGCAAAAGCCAUGAUUUUAUACUGUGACUCUCUACAAUAAGUAAUGUCAUUCUUUAUCAAAAGAAACACAAAUCCUCCAAAGAAAAGGACUCUUCUAAAGAAAUUUCUGCAUGGGAAAGAAGAGUCUCUUGUCUCUUUUCCAAUUGUAUUGUAUUUUCACUGUGUUCUUCAAAUCCCUCCUUUUGCUUCUAUUAUAUGUAACAGCUCUGCCUUUUAAAAUUUGGCCCUAAUAUGGCCACAACCCCCUUUCCUUAUAUGAUAUUUGUGAUAGAAUAAGAAAUAUAUAUUUGGGGGCGGCUGGAUGGCUCAGUUGGUUGG